GGAGGGUGCGAGCGUUAAUCGGAAUAACUGGGCGUAAAGGGCACGCAGGCGGUGACUUAAGUGAGGUGUGAAAGCCCCGGGCUUAACCUGGGAAUUGCAUUUCAUACUGGGUCGCUAGAGUACUUUAGGGAGGGGUAGAAUUCCACGUGUAGCGGUGAAAUGCGUAGAGAUGUGGAGGAAUACCGAAGGCGAAGGCAGCCCCUUGGGAAUGUACUGACGCUCAUGUGCGAAAGCGUGGGGAGCAAACAGGAUUAGAUACCCUGGUAGUCCACGCUGUAAACGAUGUCGAUUUGGGGGUUGAGCUUUAAGCUUGGCGCCCGUAGCUAACGUGAUAAAUCGACCGCCUGGGGAGUACGGCCGCAAGGUUAAA
RNAcentral lists this ribosomal RNA (370 nucleotides) under uncultured bacterium. RNAcentral describes it as "bacterial SSU rRNA". It matches the Rfam family "Bacterial small subunit ribosomal RNA", at positions 527 to 898 of the family's 1533-position model. The record is from RNAcentral.